Molecule: non-coding RNA, 430 nt
Organism: Schizosaccharomyces pombe (fission yeast)
Lineage: Eukaryota; Fungi; Ascomycota; Schizosaccharomycetes; Schizosaccharomycetales; Schizosaccharomycetaceae
Source: the annotation of a GenBank genome assembly
AUAAGAAACCAUAGUUUAUCGAUAAUUAUAACUUCACGUAUAAGACAUUACUCCUUAUAAUUUAGAUUUAAAGGCAGCCAUAGAACACUGGCAAGGUUUUGCUAAAUUAAACUCUUAAAAAAAUUGGAUUUCGCAGACCUUGAAAUUAGUAGUAAACAAGGCGGCAUGUUUCGUUCUUCUUUAGUUGACUCAGAGCUGCUUUUCAAAUUGAUUAUAAAAAUUAAGCUGGAUGCUUCUGUAAAUAAAAGAACAAUCGUAAAAUUUUGCUCUCUAUGGAUAAAAUGUAGAUUUGUUAGGAAGCAUUUGUUCUUUUUUUUUAUUUACUGGCUCAACUAACAUGAUCGGAGCUUUGGCAAAUUGCAGAGAAAAGGAUUUCUACAAUGUUGAUUUAUUCUUCAGAUUUCUGAUUAAUGAUAGUAGUUACUGAUGU